Malus domestica (apple) is the source of this 821-nucleotide RNA transcript. It is a transcript of the gene named protein NONRESPONDING TO OXYLIPINS 2, mitochondrial-like, with no coding region annotated. Lineage: Eukaryota; Viridiplantae; Streptophyta; Magnoliopsida; Rosales; Rosaceae. The record is from RefSeq and is a predicted model, not a curated record.
AUGAUGCCUUCAGCAACGAGUAGGGUUUAAGCGAACUGCUGCCUCCCUGCUUCCUCGAUCGACCUGCGAUUCAUUCAACCUCCAUAUCCUCCUUCGCAUUCACGCUCUCUCUCUCUCUCUCUCGCCGAACAAUAAAUGGCUUCCUUCUGCAGAUCAGCUCUAAUGGCGGGCUCAAGGUCCAUAGCUCGCUCAAGAGCCCUCAGCCAAACCUCCCUGAACUCCCUAAACCCCGCAGCCAUGGCAUCCCCGUUUGCUUCCGCCACCAGAACAAUUCCUUGCGCUACAAGAUUCGUUUCGGUGUUGGGAUGCAUGGAGUCAAUGAUGCCGCUUCACAGUGCCAUUGCUUCUGCUCGGCUUACAUCCAACAUUGCCGUCGAUUCCACCUGCUGGAGUUCCCUUUCUCUUGGUCUUGCAUCACCGUUGUGACAAGGCCCGCUGGCUAUGUGAGAGGCUGCAGUUCCUCGGUGACAAGGACUCCAUGCUCCGAUCAUUUCAGGCUUUCAAAUUGGCUUGCAUAUUGGUUCCUCCAUCCUUUGUUCUUUUCCUUUUUUCAAUGCUUUAUGGAAAUUGCUUUGUGGCUCCUCGACCGAAGCUGAGCAUGAACCCAACUUAACCAAGCAACCUUGCCCUGAUUCGGCCAAGUUGUACUGUACUGCUCCCCUUCCUUGUGUGCCCAUGGCAUAUAAAUUGCUAUUUGUUAAACGGUUUUCGUUAUCAAUUUUGUUUUUGCUUGAACUAGACAUUUUGAUUGUGAUGGUUCGCGAUGUAAUGCCUGGCCUGAAGAAUUAAUGGAACAAUAGGAAUGUUGCAUUCUCUUUGUA